Molecule: ribosomal RNA, 269 nt
Filed under: uncultured bacterium
Lineage: Bacteria
Description: partial 16S ribosomal RNA
Rfam family: Bacterial small subunit ribosomal RNA
Source: RNAcentral
GUCCACGCUGUAAACGAUGAUCACUGGACGUUGGUUUGCUUAGCAAAAUCAGUGUCGAAGCUAACGCGUUAAGUGAUCCGCCUGGGGAGUACGGUCGCAAGACUAAAACUCAAAGAAAUUGACGGGGGUCCGCACAAGCGGUGGAACAUGUGGUUUAAUUCGACACUACGCGAGAAACCUUACCUAGGCUUGACAUGUAACUGCUACCGGUAGAAACACUGGGUUUUGUAGAAAUACAGACGGUUACACAGGUGCUGCAUGGCUGUCGU